This 356-nucleotide ribosomal RNA is filed under the name Clostridioides difficile. Its description in RNAcentral is "bacterial LSU rRNA". It matches the Rfam family "Bacterial large subunit ribosomal RNA", at positions 2497 to 2855 of the family's 2925-position model. The record is from RNAcentral. Lineage: Bacteria; Bacillati; Bacillota; Clostridia; Peptostreptococcales; Peptostreptococcaceae.
AGUCCACAUCGACGGGGAGGUUUGGCACCUCGAUGUCGGCUCAUCACAUCCUGGGGCUGUAGUAGGUCCCAAGGGUUGGGCUGUUCGCCCAUUAAAGUGGUACGCGAGCUGGGUUCAGAACGUCGUGAGACCGUUCGGUCCCUAUCCGUCGCAGGCGUAGGAAAUUUGAGAAGACCUGUCCUUAGUACGAGAGGACCGGGAUGGACGUACCUCUGGUGUACCAGUUGUUCUGCCAAGGGCAUGGCUGGGUAGCUAUGUACGGAAUGGAUAAGCGCUGAAAGCAUCUAAGCGCGAAGCCAACUUCAAGAUAAGAUUUCCCACCGCAAGGGUAAGACCCCAGAAAGACUAACUGGUUG